This 940-nucleotide long non-coding RNA is filed under the name Marmota monax (woodchuck). Lineage: Eukaryota; Metazoa; Chordata; Mammalia; Rodentia; Sciuridae. The record is from RNAcentral.
UUGGACUCUCCCCUAUGAAGAGGAUGCUCUGCCUGGGACUUCCCUGUUGGGAAAGCUGCCCUGGGACUCCCCAGCUCCCUGGCUUUCAGGUGCUGGUGUUUUCUCGGUAAGAUGAUGUAUUUUCUUCUCUUUCUCUCCCACCUUUCACUUUUGCUUUUGCUUUCAUGUGACUACUAAAACAAACACUAUCUUAUAUAAAGAGAGUCUCUCUAUUGUCUAUCAGAAACGACCUGCCAAAUUCAGCAGCUGCACUCAUAUGUCACAUCUUAAUGUUACUGAGGUCAAAUUUCUCUAUCUGAGCUGCAAAUAGGAAGUGUUACUGAGUCCUGGGGCAAAAGCCCUGGCUCUAGGGGUCCCAACAGAUCAACCCCAAUCACCUAUUUCAAUAUACCAAGCAAAGAAAUGACCAGUGCAGGAGGGUAAGAAAGGAGCUUUAAUUAACGUGGUCAUCAUACUGGGAAGAACAGACAUAGGGGUACAGUGACCAAAGAUCCUUUUUCAAGGGACUGACAGAAACUUUGAAGUUUUGUAGAAAAAAAAAACAAGCUUGCAUGGAUCGGGAGUUUGCAAAGCUGGCAGAGUAGGACAUCUGGUCAAGCCAUGGUCUUGUUGGUCAUUAUGUCAGGGCUGGUUCUGUGGAGCUCUGGGAAGGUCAUCAUUUCAUAAGGAGGCAAUUUGGUUCCCACUGUGAGAUGGUUGCUCCUGCUUAGAGGAACAACCUCAGUCCCAACAGGAGGUGACUGCACCUUGUUAAAGGGGGCAAUCUUGUCAUUGGAUGUUCUGUAAGACUCACUGUUGACACUGGACAUGGGAAUAUUGACUUAGUGACUGUAGAAAUGAAAACAGGUGAAUGAUCACACGGGCAAGGCUUUUAUUAGGGCUUCUGUUUUUAAAGGGAGACCCAGCAUGGACCAUUCUGGCUCCCAGAAUAAAGGGAAAG